GCCUAGCUGGCCUCCAUGCGCAGCUUCUUCCUGCUCUGUGGCUCGUCGGGCUCCGAGUCGGAGCUGGAGUCGGAGCCGCCGUCGAAAGCGGAGAUGGUGCUGCCCUUGGGGUUGGUGUAGAGGCUGCUGUCCGCUGCUGGGUAGUUGGCCUGCAGCUGGGCGCUCGAGCGCGCCUUCUCCAGGGCUCGCACUUGCUGCUCCAGCAGCGCGUUCUGCCGCUUGAGGUCGUCGAUGUCCUGCUGGUGCGUGUGGUUUUUCCGGCGCAUGUACUGGAUGUACUCUGUGGCUUUGUCCAGGAUUUGGGCCCGGGAUGCCUGUGGCAAUAGUGGGAAAAGGCACGGGCCAGAUAAAGACCUCAGCCCUGCCGUGGGGCGGAGGGCCCCCCCGACGUGGAUAUGCGUGGCACCGUGGCGGGGACCCACGGACCGACUGCACCGCUGGGUUUCCACCAGCAGAACCUCAGAGCUGGGCAACGUGUAUGCAGGAGGAGGAAGCACUGCAGGAGGGGGAAGUCAGAAAGGUCCCCGUGGGGCGUGCCGCCGCGCUCCACAACCUCACCUUCUCGCCCUGCAGGGAGGGCACGGAGUCACGCAGGCUGUGGAAGCUGUCCUUGAUGUGGUCCCGCCGUUUGCGCUCCAGGGCGUUGUGGUGGGCUCGUUUGUCU
RNAcentral lists this long non-coding RNA (664 nucleotides) under Gallus gallus (chicken). The record is from RNAcentral. Lineage: Eukaryota; Metazoa; Chordata; Aves; Galliformes; Phasianidae.